Small nucleolar RNA from Zingiber officinale, 110 nucleotides. The record is from RefSeq and is a predicted model, not a curated record. NCBI's taxonomy places the organism in Eukaryota, Viridiplantae, Streptophyta, Magnoliopsida, Zingiberales, Zingiberaceae.
AGGCCAUGAUGGGGGCAAUGUCUCAACAUACUCUUGAAUCUGUCCCAGGCUUCAAAUAAUGAUUCUGAAUCUACCUGCUUGAAGUUUGCAAUCAGAUUCAUCAUGUGAAU